This 773-nucleotide ribosomal RNA is filed under the name uncultured Neocallimastigales. RNAcentral describes it as "partial large subunit ribosomal RNA". It matches the Rfam family "Eukaryotic large subunit ribosomal RNA", at positions 18 to 616 of the family's 3401-position model. Lineage: Eukaryota; Fungi; Neocallimastigomycota; Neocallimastigomycetes; Neocallimastigales. The record is from RNAcentral.
UCAGACGAUGCGUCAUGCAUAUCAAUAAGCGGAGGAAAAGAAACUAACAAGGAUUCCCCUAGUAACGGCGAGUGAAGCGGGAAGAGCUCAAAUUUGAAAUCUUAAAGGGUUUCCCUUCACGAAUUGUAGUUUAAAGAAGUGUUUUCUGUUGAGGUUUUGGUAAAAGUUCUUGGAAUAGGACAUCAUAGAGGGUGAGAAUCCCGUAUUUGACCUUUACUUUCAACUUUGUGAUACACUUUCAAAGAGUCGGAUUGUUUGGGAAUGCAGUCCAAAAUGGGUGGUAAAUUUCAUCUAAAGCUAAAUAUUGGCGAGAGACCGAUAGCGAACAAGUACCGUGAGGGAAAGAUGAAAAGAACUUUGAAAAGAGAGUUAAACAGUACGUGAAAUUGUCAAAAGGGAAGCGUUUGACACCAGUGUUGUUUUUCUGAAAAUCAAUUGAAGAACUGUUUAUGCUAAGCUGUUUAGACUUUAUCAGCUAUCUGUUUAGUUUUGAGCUUUUCUUUAAUGCACUUUUCAGUUAACAAGUCAACAUCAAUUUCUUUUGCUGUAAAAAAGCUUGAGGAAGGUGGCUUGAGAUUCGUCUUAAGUGUUUAUAGCCUCUUGCCUAUGCAGUCGGAGAGAUUGAGGUCUGCAGCGUAGAUCCUUCGGGGCUAAAUGCAUUUGUGCUAAGUUAUAGCAUUUUAUAGACAUCUUGUUGACUAUGAUUUGUCUUGUAGCUUACUCGCUUAUGUUAUUUUACCUACGCUUAGGAUGUUGAGCGCAUGUCUCUCUCU